RNAcentral lists this long non-coding RNA (1501 nucleotides) under Triticum aestivum (bread wheat). Its description in RNAcentral is "long non-coding RNA (TAES_LNC013667)". Lineage: Eukaryota; Viridiplantae; Streptophyta; Magnoliopsida; Poales; Poaceae. The record is from RNAcentral.
CGAUGUGUGGGUGCUCGGUUCUGCUCAGUACCGCAACCUGGAGAGUUCCAAACACGAUUCAGGAGAUGCCUCUCCAAGUAGCCAGGUAUGCAAGUCUGUUAUCUACUUCUGUGAGUUCUUUUAUAUAUAUGCAAAGGAGGAAACAGUUCUCAUAAAAGAAGUGAAGAAACAGGGAUCCUACUACAGUUCAGAUAGAACUACUUGCUUUUUUUUUAGGGUGGACUACUUGCUUAUUGCUCUGUAUUAAGUUUGUUUCUUCUUAUAGUUAAUCUUAUGCUAUGUUGUGUGCAUACUCAGAUAGUUAAAUGAAUGACCUGAUAGAAUGUUUAUUAUAUUUACCUCCUGCUGAAACUCUGGGAAACCUUGUUUACCAUGGGGUUUACCAUGGGGUCCCAACAUCUUGAUAGCCACUAUGACACCACCUAGUUUUCCUUUGUACACUGGGCCAUAGCCUCCUUCUCCUAUGAGAUUUUUUGAGUGGAAGUUAUUGGUCGCUUUCUCAAUACGCGACAUGGGGAACUCGGAAAUAUGAUCUGGAAUAUGCAGCUUCGGGUAUCUAUUUUUCGAUAAGGUUCUCUCCCUCAGCAAAACGUUCCCUUUUCUGGGUGACAAGAUGCUUUGUUCAUGAUUAUAGCCCUCAUCUUGCAGAUCUUUUAAUUUCCUUUGGAGCUUCUCCAUUUCGUCCUGUACAAAACAAAAAGCUACAUACUGAAGAAGUAAUCAAGAAGAGAUUUAAUGGUGUACCAAUGUUGUGUGAUAUACACCUUGUGUCUUAUGAUUUUCUAUCUCCUAUUUUUUCUCUAGCUUAUCUUCAUCGGUAUUAAUUUCAUUUUGAAUGUUUUAUUAUUUUCUAGCUUACCUUCACCUAGGCAUGUUUUUCCGUCCAAGCUCUACUGUUUCCGAUCUCAAAAGGAAUGGACUGUAACAAAAGUUGCAUCAUGUGACUUUUACCAUCAAUUUUGCAGCCUCUUCAGAAAUAUUUCUGGCACUCUGUAUCUCAUCAGAUUUAUCAGCACCCUCUUCGGAAAAAAUCUCCACCUCCUCAUAAGCAUUUGAUUCCUCGACGCCUUGUUCAGCUUCCUGCACAUCAUACAUGAAUGGAGCAAAACUUAAUGUUAUUUACGCAAAUUGCACAUUUCAAAAGUCAUAGGUAGCACUUGUUUUUCUUUUUACUAGAUACAGUUCAUCAACCUGUCUUUGUGGCAGCAGUGGUAAAUAUAAUUCUGGUCAAACAUGCUUAAGCACAGAGUGAAUUCAAAUAUAAUACCAUUUUUUUUAACAGGAAAAGGCGCUCGAGGUGCCAUCUUCAUUAAGCUCAAAUGCAUAGUACAUCAUGGAUUACAAAACCCUGGAUAUUUGCAAGAGAGAGCAAGGGUUGUACAAAACCCUGGAUAUUGUUUCUGUAUGUGUGGUGGGCAACCUUAAAGAGUGAGUAGGUAGAAUUUCUGAAUGCACAUGUUUUAGUAGUUGUCUUGAAAGCAAAACGAAGAUGAGUUAUUAC